GACGAACGCUGGCGGCGUGCUUAACACAUGCAAGUCGAACGGAAAGGCCUGCUUUCCCUUGUGGAUUGCGGGUACUCGAGUGGCGAACGGGUGAGUAACACGUGAGUGAUCUGCCCCCAACUUGGGUAUAAGCCUGGGAAACUGGGUCUAAUUCCCGAUAGGACUGCAGGGUGGUGCCUGUGGUGGAAAACGAUUUUCUAGUGGUUGGGGAUGAGCUCGCGGCCUAUCAGCUUGUUGGUGGGGUAAUGGCCUACCAAGGCGGCGACGGGUAGCCGGCCUGGGAGGGUGGACGGCCACAUUGGGACUGAGAUACGGCCCAGACUACUACGGGAGGCAGCAGUGGGGAAUAAUGCGCAAUGGGCGGAAGCCUGAUGCAGCGACGCCGCGUGGGGGAUGACGGGCUUCGGGUUGUAAACUCCUUUCGACAGCGAGGAAGCCACCUGGUUGGAAGGGUGGUGACGGUAGUGGUAGAAGAAGCACCGGCUAACUACGUG
This 494-nucleotide ribosomal RNA is filed under the name uncultured bacterium. RNAcentral's name for it is "partial 16S ribosomal RNA". It matches the Rfam family "Bacterial small subunit ribosomal RNA", at positions 28 to 507 of the family's 1533-position model. The record is from RNAcentral.